This 1707-nucleotide ribosomal RNA is filed under the name Escherichia coli. RNAcentral describes it as "partial 23S ribosomal RNA". It matches the Rfam family "Bacterial large subunit ribosomal RNA", at positions 1 to 1751 of the family's 2925-position model. Lineage: Bacteria; Pseudomonadati; Pseudomonadota; Gammaproteobacteria; Enterobacterales; Enterobacteriaceae. The record is from RNAcentral.
GGUUAAGCGACUAAGCGUACACGGUGGAUGCCCUGGCAGUCAGAGGCGAUGAAGGACGUGCUAAUCUGCGAUAAGCGUCGGUGAGGUGAUAUGAACCGUUAUAACCGGCGAUUUCCGAAUGGGGAAACCCAGUGUGUUUCGACACACUAUCAUUAACUGAAUCCAUAGGUUAAUGAGGCGAACCGGGGGAACUGAAACAUCUAAGUACCCCGAGGAAAAGAAAUCAACCGAGAUUCCCCCAGUAGCGGCGAGCGAACGGGGAGGAGCCCAGAGCCUGAAUCAGUGUGUGUGUUAGUGGAAGCGUCUGGAAAGGCGCGCGAUACAGGGUGACAGCCCCGUACACAAAAAUGCACAUAUUGUGAGCUCGAUGAGUAGGGCGGGACACGUGGUAUCCUGUCUGAAUAUGGGGGGACCAUCCUCCAAGGCUAAAUACUCCUGACUGACCGAUAGUGAACCAGUACCGUGAGGGAAAGGCGAAAAGAACCCCGGCGAGGGGAGUGAAAAAGAACCUGAAACCGUGUACGUACAAGCAGUGGGAGCCUCUUAAUGGGGUGACUGCGUACCUUUUGUAUAAUGGGUCAGCGACUUAUAUUCUGUAGCAAGGUUAACCGAAUAGGGGAGCCGAAGGGAAACCGAGUCUUAACUGGGCGUUAAGUUGCAGGGUAUAGACCCGAAACCCGGUGAUCUAGCCAUGGGCAGGUUGAAGGUUGGGUAACACUAACUGGAGGACCGAACCGACUAAUGUUGAAAAAUUAGCGGAUGACUUGUGGCUGGGGGUGAAAGGCCAAUCAAACCGGGAGAUAGCUGGUUCUCCCCGAAAGCUAUUUAGGUAGCGCCUCGUGAAUUCAUCUCCGGGGGUAGAGCACUGUUUCGGCAAGGGGGUCAUCCCGACUUACCAACCCGAUGCAAACUGCGAAUACCGGAGAAUGUUAUCACGGGAGACACACGGCGGGUGCUAACGUCCGUCGUGAAGAGGGAAACAACCCAGACCGCCAGCUAAGGUCCCAAAGUCAUGGUUAAGUGGGAAACGAUGUGGGAAGGCCCAGACAGCCAGGAUGUUGGCUUAGAAGCAGCCAUCAUUUAAAGAAAGCGUAAUAGCUCACUGGUCGAGUCGGCCUGCGCGGAAGAUGUAACGGGGCUAAACCAUGCACCGAAGCUGCGGCAGCGACGCUUAUGCGUUGUUGGGUAGGGGAGCGUUCUGUAAGCCUGUGAAGGUGUGCUGUGAGGCAUGCUGGAGGUAUCAGAAGUGCGAAUGCUGACAUAAGUAACGAUAAAGCGGGUGAAAAGCCCGCUCGCCGGAAGACCAAGGGUUCCUGUCCAACGUUAAUCGGGGCAGGGUGAGUCGACCCCUAAGGCGAGGCCGAAAGGCGUAGUCGAUGGGAAACAGGUUAAUAUUCCUGUACUUGGUGUUACUGCGAAGGGGGGACGGAGAAGGCUAUGUUGGCCGGGCGACGGUUGUCCCGGUUUAAGCGUGUAGGCUGGUUUUCCAGGCAAAUCCGGAAAACCAAGGCUGAGGCGUGAUGACGAGGCACUACGGUGCUGAAGCAACAAAUGCCCUGCUUCCAGGAAAAGCCUCUAAGCAUCAGGUAACAUCAAAUCGUACCCCAAACCGACACAGGUGGUCAGGUAGAGAAUACCAAGGCGCUUGAGAGAACUCGGGUGAAGGAACUAGGCAAAAUGGUGCCGUAACUUCGGGAGAAGGCACGC